Molecule: ribosomal RNA, 468 nt
Filed under: uncultured bacterium
Lineage: Bacteria
Description: partial 16S ribosomal RNA
Rfam family: Bacterial small subunit ribosomal RNA
Source: RNAcentral
GACGAACGCUGGCGGCGUGCUUAACACAUGCAAGUCGAACGGAAAGGCCCUGCUUUUGUGGGGUGCUCGAGUGGCGAACGGGUGAGUAACACGUGAGUAACCUGCCCUUGACUUUGGGAUAACUUCAGGAAACUGGGGCUAAUACCGGAUAGGAGCUCCUGCUGCAUGGUGGGGGUUGGAAAGUUUCGGCGGUUGGGGAUGGACUGGCGGCUUAUCAGCUUGUUGGUGGGGUAGUGGCUUACCAAGGCUUUGACGGGUAGCCGGCCUGGGAGGGUGACCGGCCACAUUGGGACUGAGAUACGGCCCAGACUCCUACGGGAGGCAGCAGUGGGGAAUAUUGCACAGUGGGCGGAAGCCUGAUGCGGCAACGCCGCGUGCGGGAUGACGGCCUUCUGGUUGUAAACCGCUUUCGCCUGUGACGAAGCGUGAGUGACGGUAAUGGGUGAAGAAGCACCGGCUAACUACGUG